CAGCAUCCCAGAGUGCUAGGAUGAUAGGCGUGAGCCAAUCCUUGUGUCUUCUGUCUGUCUUUGUGGCAACCCAGAUUGAAAUGGGGAAUAAUCU
Molecule: small nucleolar RNA, 94 nt
Filed under: Microcebus murinus (gray mouse lemur)
Lineage: Eukaryota; Metazoa; Chordata; Mammalia; Primates; Cheirogaleidae
Description: Small nucleolar RNA SNORA31 (ENSMICG00000026037.3)
Rfam family: Small nucleolar RNA SNORA31
About the family: ACA31 (SNORA31) belongs to the H/ACA class of snoRNAs which are thought to guide the sites of modification of uridines to pseudouridines. ACA31 is predicted to guide the pseudouridylation of U3713 in 28S rRNA and U218 in 18S rRNA.
Source: Rfam by way of RNAcentral